UUAAAGAAUGUCAUCAAUAGGAACUUGUUUCCUAUAAAAAUUAUACAACUUUCAGCAACGGAUCUCUUGGCUCUCGCAUCGAUGAAGAACGCAGCGAAAUGCGAUAAGUAAUGUGAAUUGCAGAAUUCAGUGAAUCAUCGAAUCUUUGAACGCACCUUGCGCUCCUUGGUACUCCGAGGAGCAUGCCUGUUUGAGUGUCAUUAAAUUAUCAACCUUCCAACUUUUAUUAGCUUGGUUAGGCUUGGAUGUGGGGGUUGCAGGCUUCAUUAGUGGGGUCAGCUCUCCUUAAAUGCAUUAGUGGAACUUUUGUAGACCAUUUAUUGGUGUGAUAAUUAUCUAUGCCGUGAAUGUGAAGCAGCUUUAUAAAGUUCAGCUUCUAACCGUCCAUUGGAUUGGACAACUUUGACAAUUUGGCCUCAAAUCAGGUAGGACUACCCGCUGAACUUAAGCAUAUCA
Molecule: ribosomal RNA, 456 nt
Filed under: Laccaria stellata
Lineage: Eukaryota; Fungi; Basidiomycota; Agaricomycetes; Agaricales; Hydnangiaceae
Description: eukaryotic LSU rRNA
Rfam family: 5.8S ribosomal RNA (bases 47-200)
Source: RNAcentral